GAUGAACGCUGGCGGCGUGCUUAACACAUGCAAGUCGAACGGAAAGGCCUCAGCUUGCUGGGGUACUCGAGUGGCGAACGGGUGAGUGACACGUGGGUGAUCUGCCCUGCACUUCGGGAUAAGCCUGGGAAACUGGGUCUAAUACCGGAUAGGACCAUAGUUUAGUGUCGGUGGUGGAAAGUUUUUCGGUGCAGGAUGAGCUCGCGGCCUAUCAGCUUGUUGGUGGGGUAAUGGCCUACCAAGGCGUCGACGGGUAGCCGGCCUGAGAGGGUGGACGGCCACAUUGGGACUGAGACACGGCCCAGACGCCUACGGGAGGCAGCAGUGGGGAAUAUUGCACAAUGGGCGCAAGCCUGAUGCAGCGACGCCGCGUGGGGGAUGAAGGCCUUCGGGUUGUAAACUCCUUUCAACCAUGACGAAGCGUAAGUGACGGUAGUGGUAGAAGAAGCACCGGCUAACUACGUGCCAGCCGCCGCGGUAA
This 481-nucleotide ribosomal RNA is filed under the name uncultured bacterium. Its description in RNAcentral is "partial 16S ribosomal RNA". It matches the Rfam family "Bacterial small subunit ribosomal RNA", at positions 28 to 523 of the family's 1533-position model. The record is from RNAcentral.